Molecule: ribosomal RNA, 219 nt
Filed under: uncultured bacterium
Lineage: Bacteria
Description: partial 16S ribosomal RNA
Rfam family: Bacterial small subunit ribosomal RNA
Source: RNAcentral
CCUGAACGCUGGCGGCGUGGCUAAGACAUGCAAGUCGCACGGGCCGUCGCAAGACGGUCAGUGGCGGACGGGUGAGUAAUGUAUCGCUAACGUACCCUGGACUCUGGGAUAGCUGUCCGAAAGGACAGGUAAUACCGGAUGAGACCACAAGCAGGCAUCUGCUGGUGCUCAAAGGUCCGCCGGUCUGGGAGCGGGCGAUAUCGUAUCAGCUAGUUGGGA